UGCCAGCCGCCGCGGUAACACGUACCGUACGAACGUUAUUCGGAAUCACUGGGCUUAAAGAGUCCGUAGGCGGCUUCAAAGGUCAGGUGUGAAAUCCCACGGCUCAACCGUGGAACUGCGCUUGAAACCAUGAAGCUAGAGGGAGAUAGAGGUGAGCGGAACUGAUGGUGGAGCGGUGAAAUGCGUUGAUAUCAGGAGGAACACCGGCGGCGAAGGCGACACUCUGGCCUGCUUCUGACGCUGAGGCGCGAAGGCGUGGGUAGCGAACGGGAUUAGAUA
RNAcentral lists this ribosomal RNA (279 nucleotides) under uncultured bacterium. RNAcentral describes it as "partial 16S ribosomal RNA". It matches the Rfam family "Bacterial small subunit ribosomal RNA", at positions 506 to 784 of the family's 1533-position model. The record is from RNAcentral.